Non-coding RNA from Rattus norvegicus (Norway rat), 830 nucleotides. The record is from RefSeq and is a predicted model, not a curated record. NCBI's taxonomy places the organism in Eukaryota, Metazoa, Chordata, Mammalia, Rodentia, Muridae.
GUUUCCAUGACCUCAGAUUGGAUAAAGUUUUCUCUCCCCCACAAUAUCACCUGAAUCUUGCAUUUGAGAAUCUUAAUUUUAAGAUUUAAUUCAGCAAUUUUAUUUGGAAUUCGUACAGGCAUUGGUUUUCCACAGCUGUCUGCUUUCCCCCUGCUGGGUACAAACCUGGGCUCCUCACUGCCUGAGAGGCGAACACAGGCACACAAGAGAUGUUGAGAUGCUGCCUCCCUGAACCCAAAGCAGAGAACUUUCUGCUGCCCCCACACCUCGGCACCAGAGUAACUGUUACUGUCUGCCAACAGUAACAGUGGAUUUCACCUCAAACUGUUUCUCCUACUGACCUGAUCUCUGGGCUUCUUGAGAAUGCUUUCCCCUCAGCGGCUGGAGCUGUUUGGAGAAGUUGUGGAGGUGUUAAGUACAGCCUAGCUGAGGGAAGUGAGUAUCUAUCCAUCGGGUGGACACAGACCUUGAGCUUUAGAGCUGGCUCCAUUUAUUUCCCUGUUUUCGCUUCCUUCAGAGAUCUGUGAGUUCCUGACAGAAGGUGUCCAGCUUGUUUCUCUGCUCUGAUGGUUACCCAUCUGCCCACAUGGAUAAACUGAGUCACGACAAUGAAUGGAGCAAACAGGGAGCCAAGGCAGGAGAUGAUCUGUGCGACUCCAGACUCUGGAACCUCAAACAUCUUACAGAAAAAUAGGUCCUUGGACGGGACUGUUCUGGGCUAACAGUCUCGGAAGCCUGACUCGAGACAGCCUUCUACAAACAGAGGACAGAAAUGGAUGCUGGGGCUCUAAUCACAGAAGGAAUCCUUAAUAAAACUAUGUAUCACCUAA